Molecule: long non-coding RNA, 1818 nt
Filed under: Podarcis lilfordi (Lilford's wall lizard)
Lineage: Eukaryota; Metazoa; Chordata; Lepidosauria; Squamata; Lacertidae
Source: RNAcentral
CCUGGGAUUAUUUAUGCAAGUCAUGAGUGUUAAACUGGUAUAAAAAUCAACCAAAUUUUGUAGCAGAUGUGCCUAGUUCUCUAUGCAGGUGAACCACUCACAACCAUAACAUUCGUUCUCUGGUUUCGCCUUUUCUUCACUGUAUAAACCAUCGCCUUCUCCUCCUCAGUGAACACUGUUACCCCGUAAAACUACAGCAAAUGAUGUAAAAAUUCCAUUCAUCAGAUUGUGAUGGAAACGAAUUAUUAAGUGUUUGACAACCUAAUUCUUUUUUUCUUUUUCUUUUUACUGUUGUGCAUGAACGAGGAAUGAGAAGAAGAGAUGCAGAGUGAGAGAGCGAAAACACAGCAGAUGCUUUUGCCCUAAACAUCUGUCUCAUGAAGCAAAAAAUCAGAUGUUGAGCUGGAAUUCUAGCUAUCUGCUGCUCUGGGUAACCCAGUGAGAGAUUUAGGUUCCAUGACCUCCCAUGGCCAUGCUUCUUGACCCAUGAAUGACACUUGGCCAAAUUCAUUCACUGAGUCAGACCCAAAAACAAAAGCUUGCCUAUGGUUGACCACUGAUCGCUCCUAAUGCAAACCUGCCUUUGCUCUAGGGCCAAAUGAUCCCUCCCAACAGCAAGGAGCACAAUCUAAAGAACUGAGCAGCAUCCAAGAGCAUGCAUGAAACCAUUCAGAACAGCCAUAAAGACUGACUCAUAAGUACAUCUCUCCAUACACUUUUGCUCUUCUUGAUGCUUGGUCCUGUUCUUUGCCUGUAUACUUCUGCUGACAGCAUGCAAUCCUUUCUGCCUUUAGGACAAUUGCUUCCUACACCACCACCACCACCACCACUACUCCCUGCCUUCUUUACUCACCGUUCCUUUAGGUUCCUUUUUCAGGCCGCUACUGAUUCAUCUAGAUCAGUAUGGUCUAUUGGCAGUGGCUCUCCAGGGUUUCAGGCAAAGUUCUCCUCCAGCCCUACCUAGAUCUAUCCUAGAGCUCACCUAUCCCCUAUCUUGCAUUUUCUGCUCUUUAUGGCAACAGUACAUAGCUCCUCCAAGUCUCUUUUCCUCUAUCCAUUCUUAUGUUCCACUUCCCUCACAUAAACUGCACUAUUAACGAACAUUCUAUUGCUCAAAUAUCACCCUGAGUAGUUAGGGCAGGACCAAAGGAACGUCCAAUGGAAACUCCAGCAUGAAAUUGCCGAAUUCUCAAAAAGUUCAAUUCUAUUCAUUUGGGUCUGAAGAGAGACAAUGGUAUUCUGCUCUGCUGCUGCUGUUAAAUGUACUCAGCAGUGCUAAGAUGAUGCUGUUAUCCCCAUCACCACCAUUGCUGUUGUGAAGGGUAUCUGCACUCACUUUUAAUAAUUUAAACUCCAGUUGUAUUGUCUAAAAUGAGUGUGCUGUUGCCAAUUGCUGAUGCUGUGAAGGAUCAGUUUGCAUAUAUUUAACGGAAUGGUCACGGAUGGAACUUUUUCAAUUCAUUGUCAUUUAACUCCAACUUUAACAUUUCUCUUUACACCCUUAUGUAGAUAUAUAACUGACCAGCAAGAAUUACACAUUGUGCAUCUGGUGAAGUGGACUCUAGUUCAAAGAAGCUUAUGCCAUAAAAAAAAAAUGUUCGCCUUUAAGGUGCCAAAAUACUUUUUGUUGUUCUUGUGACAACAGACUACUGUGGCUACCCCUCUGGAGUCUGGACAUUAUGUGACUGUGAUAUAUUGUCAAUAUAUAUUUAAGAAUGCUACUUCCUGCCCUUCCUGAAUAUCUCAGGGUAUAUAUAUACCUCUCAUUAUUUGACUCUCUCCAUUCAGUUAUGCUUCAGGCUGAAGCUGGAAUAAACA